Molecule: ribosomal RNA, 489 nt
Filed under: Cryptendoxyla hypophloia
Lineage: Eukaryota; Fungi; Ascomycota; Sordariomycetes; Cephalothecales; Cephalothecaceae
Description: eukaryotic LSU rRNA
Rfam family: Eukaryotic large subunit ribosomal RNA
Source: RNAcentral
GAGUGAAGCGGCAAUAGCUCGAAUUUGAAAUCUGGCCUAGGCCCGAGUUGUAAUCUGUAGAGGAUGCUUUUGGCGCGGUGCCUUCCGAGUUCCCUGGAACGGGACGCCACAGAGGGUGAGAGCCCCGUAUGGUCGGACACCAAGCCUCUGUAAAGCUCCUUCGACGAGUCGAGUAGCUUGGGAAUGCUGCUCUAAAUGGGAGGUAAACUUCUUCUAAAGCUAAAUACCGGCUAGAGACCGAUAGCGCACAAGUAGAGUGAUCGAAAGAUGAAAAGCACUUUGAAAAGAGGGUUAAACAGUACGUGAAAUUGUUGAAAGGGAAGCGCUUGUGACCCAGACUUGCGCCGGGCUGAUCAUCCAGCGGUCUCCGCUGGUGCACUCGGUCCGGCUCAGGCCAGCGUCGGUUGUCGCGGGGGGAUAAAAGCCUAGGGAAUGUAGCUCCUUCCGGGGAGUGUUAUAGCCCUCCGCAGAAUAUCCCGCGGCGACCGA